This 496-nucleotide ribosomal RNA is filed under the name uncultured bacterium. RNAcentral describes it as "partial 16S ribosomal RNA". It matches the Rfam family "Bacterial small subunit ribosomal RNA", at positions 28 to 506 of the family's 1533-position model. The record is from RNAcentral.
GAUGAACGCUGGCGGCGUGCCUAAUACAUGCAAGUCGAGCGAACAGACGAGGAGCUUGCUCCUCUGACGUUAGCGGCGGACGGGUGAGUAACACGUGGAUAACCUACCUAUAAGACUGGGAUAACUUCGGGAAACCGGAGCUAAUACCGGAUAAUAUAUUGAACCGCAUGGUUCAAUAGUGAAAGACGGUUUUGCUGUCACUUAUAGAUGGAUCCGCGCCGCAUUAGCUAGUUGGUAAGGUAACGGCUUACCAAGGCAACGAUGCGUAGCCGACCUGAGAGGGUAAUCGGCCACACUGGAACUGAGACACGGUCCAGACUCCUACGGGAGGCAGCAGUAGGAAAACUUCCGAAAUGGGCGAAAGCUUGACGAAGCAACGCCGCGUGGGUGAUGAAGGUCUUCGGAUCGUAAAACUCUGUUAUGAGGAAAGAACAAAUGUGUAAGUAACUAUGCACGUCUUGACGGUACCUAAUCAGAAAGCCCCGGCUAACUACGG